Molecule: ribosomal RNA, 694 nt
Filed under: Galerina castaneipes
Lineage: Eukaryota; Fungi; Basidiomycota; Agaricomycetes; Agaricales; Galerinaceae
Description: partial large subunit ribosomal RNA
Rfam family: Eukaryotic large subunit ribosomal RNA
Source: RNAcentral
UUUGGUCAUCCGAGUUGUAAUCUAGAGAAGUGUUAUCCGCGCUGGACCGUGUACAAGUCUCCUGGAAUGGAGCGUCAUAGAGGGUGAGAAUCCCGUCUUUGACACGGACUGCCAGGGCUUUGUGAUGCGCUCUCAAAGAGUCGAGUUGUUUGGGAAUGCAGCUCAAAAUGGGUGGUAAAUUCCAUCUAAAGCUAAAUAUUGGCGAGAGACCGAUAGCGAACAAGUACCGUGAGGGAAAGAUGAAAAGAACUUUGGAAAGAGAGUUAAACAGUACGUGAAAUUGCUGAAAGGGAAACGCUUGAAGUCAGUCGCGUUGGCCGGGAAUCAACCUUGCUUUUGCUGGGCGUACUUUCCGGUUGACGGGUCAGCAUCAAUUUUGACCGUUGGAUAAAGUUCAGGGGAAUGUGGCAUCUUCGGAUGUGUUAUAGCCUUUGUUCGCAUACAACGGUUGGGAUUGAGGAACUCAGCACGCCGCAAGGCCGGGUAUUUAUACCACGUUCGUGCUUAGGAUGCUGGCAUAAUGGCUUUAAUCGACCCGUCUUGAAACACGGACCAAGGAGUCUAACAUGCCUGCGAGUGUUUGGGUGGAAAACCCGAGCGCGUAAUGAAAGUGAAAGUUGAGAUCCCUGUCGUGGGGAGCAUCGACGCCCGGACCAGACCUUUUGUGACGGAUCCGCGGUAGAGCAUGUAUGUU